RNAcentral lists this ribosomal RNA (1156 nucleotides) under Latilactobacillus sakei. RNAcentral describes it as "bacterial SSU rRNA". It matches the Rfam family "Bacterial small subunit ribosomal RNA", at positions 34 to 1152 of the family's 1533-position model. Lineage: Bacteria; Bacillati; Bacillota; Bacilli; Lactobacillales; Lactobacillaceae. The record is from RNAcentral.
CCCUGGGGGGGGCCUAAUACAUGCAAGUCGAACGCACUCUCGUUUAGAUUGAAGGAGCUUGCUCCUGAUUGAUAAACAUUUGAGUGAGUGGCGGACGGGUGAGUAACACGUGGGUAACCUGCCCUAAAGUGGGGGAUAACAUUUGGAAACAGAUGCUAAUACCGCAUAAAACCUAACACCGCAUGGUGUAGGGUUGAAAGAUGGUUUCGGCUAUCACUUUAGGAUGGACCCGCGGUGCAUUAGUUAGUUGGUGAGGUAAAGGCUCACCAAGACCGUGAUGCAUAGCCGACCUGAGAGGGUAAUCGGCCACACUGGGACUGAGACACGGCCCAGACUCCUACGGGAGGCAGCAGUAGGGAAUCUUCCACAAUGGACGAAAGUCUGAUGGAGCAACGCCGCGUGAGUGAAGAAGGUUUUCGGAUCGUAAAACUCUGUUGUUGGAGAAGAAUGUAUCUGAUAGUAACUGAUCAGGUAGUGACGGUAUCCAACCAGAAAGCCACGGCUAACUACGUGCCAGCAGCCGCGGUAAUACGUAGGUGGCAAGCGUUGUCCGGAUUUAUUGGGCGUAAAGCGAGCGCAGGCGGUUUCUUAAGUCUGAUGUGAAAGCCUUCGGCUCAACCGAAGAAGUGCAUCGGAAACUGGGAAACUUGAGUGCAGAAGAGGACAGUGGAACUCCAUGUGUAGCGGUGAAAUGCGUAGAUAUAUGGAAGAACACCAGUGGCGAAGGCGGCUGUCUGGUCUGUAACUGACGCUGAGGCUCGAAAGCAUGGGUAGCAAACAGGAUUAGAUACCCUGGUAGUCCAUGCCGUAAACGAUGAGUGCUAGGUGUUGGAGGGUUUCCGCCCUUCAGUGCCGCAGCUAACGCAUUAAGCACUCCGCCUGGGGAGUACGACCGCAAGGUUGAAACUCAAAGGAAUUGACGGGGGCCCGCACAAGCGGUGGAGCAUGUGGUUUAAUUCGAAGCAACGCGAAGAACCUUACCAGGUCUUGACAUCCUUUGACCACUCUAGAGAUAGAGCUUUCCCUUCGGGGACAAAGUGACAGGUGGUGCAUGGUUGUCGUCAGCUCGUGUCGUGAGAUGUUGGGUUAAGUCCCGCAACGAGCGCACCCUUAUUACUAGUUGCCAGCAUUUAGUUGGGCACUCUAGUGAGACUGC